AUACAGAGGGGGAUGAGGUGGUACCUCGUGUUUGUUUUGAUUUGCAUUCCUUUGUUAAUAAGUGAUUGUGAUCAUUUUUUCUGGGGCAUGUUUCCUUUGGGAUAUGUCUAUUCAUGUUUUUGCCCAUUUUUCAGUUGAGGUGCUGGUUUUGUUUUGCUGUUGGGUGGUAUCAGUUAUUGAGCUGUUAAUUUUGGAUGCCCAGCCUGAUCUGGCCUUUGGGAUCCAGAUAAAGUACCUGCGGGUUGUGCACAGGAGGUAGUAAAACGGUGAUAUUUUGGUGAGCAGCUGUGCAAAUCCCUGUGCUUUUUCUCUCAAGAGUUGUCAGGAAAUUCCAUCCUUUUUUCCCAUGUGAGCCUCAUCUCUUCCUUCUAUUCACUUGGUAUGAAAACCUGGUUUAACACCGGGUCGGGGAUGUUAAGGCCAAUAGAUUGAUUGAUAUAAAGAAAGCUCUCACCAACAUGCCUCCCAGCAACCUGGGUAAGAGAUCUGUAUUUAUUGCUGUGGUGGGUUUGGUAAAUACUGUGGCUUGAAAAUCAUCGAUGUGCCGACAAGUCACACAUGCUUCAGGUGGGGUCAAUAAAUUAGAAACAAAGAGAAAGAAGAGAAAAGAUGCCAGAUUUUACUUACUAAUGAAGGAAUCACAGGCAGAAAAUUUAUUAAAAAAAUCAAUCAUUACAUACCUACACACCUAUCUUCAUAGAUGCAUAAGUGCCGGGAUAUAUACAAAAGGAAGAAGGCCGUCAUGACAUGAUGGGGCAGGGGCUGAGGGUGUAACCAGAGAGGCCUGGCGUAGGUUGGCCCCAGGGCUCUGAAAGCCUUUGAGAGAUAAAGAGCCCACUUGGCAGGGCACUUCUUGGUAUUUCAUCAAAGAGUGGAAGGAAAUCCAAUAAGAAUAUUGCACACAACCAAUGCAGCCCUGGGGACAGCUGAGCCAGAGAUGAGAAGGACCUGAGAGUUGCUAAUAGAUCAGAUUCCACACGUGUGCGCCAGAGCACCUUUUGGACCCAAGUGCAGCUCCAAGGCUCUGAAGGUGCAGGCCCAGAGCUGGGGCUGAUGGUGAUCUGAGCAGAACUGACAGCAAGCACCCAGAGGUUUUUUGGUUGUUUCCUGGGCACCGGGGAUGCUCUGCUCCAAGACGCCUCAUGUCAGGCAGAGGACACAGGUAUCUCUUCAGCAUUUUGAGGUGGAUUGGCAGCCUGGUUGGGUGGCAGUGUGUUUAGAAUGCUUGAAGGAUUCACUGGUUUUCAGAACACCUUGUGUUCCUCCAGCGGCAGGGGCCAAGACCCACAGAGCAUCUGUGUUGUAUCGGGAGCUGGCCAUUUUCCAGCCCCUGACCAUUGGUGGGUUUAGGUAUGUGGAGAAAGAGGGGGGUGCUGCUGAAUGAAUGGGGGACUUCAGUGGCAUUUGGGUGGGCAGCUGGGCUAGUCCCUGGGCUUUUUUUGCUCAAGAGGCUUAUGGAAAUUUCCUCCUUGCCUUUUGGGAUGAGCAGCACUUCUCAGUACAGUGCCAGGUAUGGAAGCCUGUGCGGAACCAGGUCUGAUGAAUUAAGCAGCGUUGAUUGGUAUCAUCCAGCAAGCUCUCAGGGAGUGCCCUUGUGGCUGCCUGGCUUCAGAGUCUCUCCUUGUCACUGCUGUGGCUGUGGCAAGAGCUGCAUUUGGAGAUCCAAUUCUGACCAUACAACAUCCCAAUGUCACAUGGGGCACCCAAAUAAAUUGAUAAAUUAGAUAUUGAAAAGAGUGAGCUUAAUUGAUAAGGAAGUCAAUGAGUGUAUAUAUAUGUGUGUGUGGGUAUAUAUACACAUACAUACAUACAUAUGAAUACAUACAUAUGUACAUUCCUACAGAGCAGCUAAUGGAAUUGAUAGAUAAGGCCACCCUAAUUGCUCUCUUUACCAAAUAUCUUGGGUGCCAGAGGGUUUUAAGUACAAGCCUUGGGACGCAUAGCAUAGGAAUGAAUUCAUUUCCAGGGCAGAGUGUAUCUGCAUGACACAUGGGUGUAGGAAGAUAAAUAGGUAAGUAAAAUAGUAAAUGAAAAAAAUUAUUAUAGAAAUUCAUACACGCUAGGUAAUUAGGUACAGUCGGAUGUCACUUUGCUAGGAAAUCUUGACAGGUUCAAUGGAGUCAGUUUGCCUCUUUUCUAAGAGGCAGCAGUCUCAACCACUUUCUCUCGUGAACGCUGAGCCACUAAAUUUGUUGAUUUUUAAAAAUCAUUUAUUAUUUUCCAUUAUCGCUGAUUUGUGGUGCUUGAUUUCACUUUAACAGCAAAGUGAUCCAAUCAUACAUGCAUCUACAUAUUCUUUUUCUCACAGUAUUCUCCGUUUGGUUCCAAAAAUAGUGACACGAUGUAU
RNAcentral lists this long non-coding RNA (2347 nucleotides) under Sus scrofa (pig). RNAcentral describes it as "lncRNA (ENSSSCG00015009716.1)". Lineage: Eukaryota; Metazoa; Chordata; Mammalia; Artiodactyla; Suidae. The record is from RNAcentral.